Long non-coding RNA from Armigeres subalbatus, 231 nucleotides. RefSeq lists it as uncharacterized. The transcript is spliced from 2 exons. Lineage: Eukaryota; Metazoa; Arthropoda; Insecta; Diptera; Culicidae. The record is from RefSeq and is a predicted model, not a curated record.
UGCAAUUUCUAUAGCAGAAACCUCGGCGGAAACCUAAAAUGGUUAAUAGUAGCAUUCAUUAACGUUUGCUAAGCAUCAUAGACAACAUUCACCUCCAAGAUCAACCAGUACUCUCGCUAGUCAGCCGGCUGAGUAUAAGAAAUGCUUCGGACAGAAAAUGCAAUAGUUUAUCCGCAAUUUCCCAUUAAAAACGCAAAAAAAUGAUUGAAUAAAAUCAGAUGUUCAAUUAAA